RNAcentral lists this ribosomal RNA (843 nucleotides) under Pseudomonadota bacterium. Its description in RNAcentral is "bacterial SSU rRNA". It matches the Rfam family "Bacterial small subunit ribosomal RNA", at positions 1 to 822 of the family's 1533-position model. Lineage: Bacteria; Pseudomonadati; Pseudomonadota. The record is from RNAcentral.
CAACUGGAGAGUUUGAUCCUGGCUCAGAUUGAACGCUGGCGGCGUGCUUAACACAUGCAAGUCGAGCGAGAAAGUUCUCUUCGGAGAAUGAGUAGAGCGGCGCACGGGUGAGUAACGCGUGGAUAAUCUACCCUGAAGAUCGGGAUAACAGUUGGAAACGACUGCUAAUACCGGAUAUCCUGCAUAUUUAGCUUUAUGUGGUAAAGGCGGCCUCUAUUUAUAAGCUGCCGCUUUGGGAUGAGUCCGCGUCUCAUUAGCUUGUUGGUGGGGUAAUGGCCUACCAAGGCUCUGAUGGGUAGCCGGCCUGAGAGGGUGUCCGGCCACACUGGGAUUGAGAUACGGCCCAGACUCCUUCGGGAGGCAGCAGUGGGGAAUAUUGCGCAAUGGGGGAAACCCUGACGCAGCGACGCCGCGUGCGGGAAGAAGGCCUUCGGGUCGUAAACCGCUGUCAGGAGGGAAGAAACUGUUAGGGUAUAAUACGCCCUUUCACUGACGGUACCUCCAAAGGAAGCACCGGCUAACUCCGUGCCAGCAGCCGCGGUAAUACGGAGGGUGCGAGCGUUAAUCGGAAUCACUGGGCGUAAAGCGCACGUAGGCGGCGCAUCAAGUCAGGCGUGAAAGCCCUCGGCUCAACCGGGGAAUUGCGUUUGAAACUGGUGCGCUGGAGUCUCGGAGAGGUUGGCGGAAUUCCAGGUGUAGGAGUGAAAUCCGUAGAUAUCUGGAGGAACACCGGUGGCGAAGGCGGCCAACUGGACGAGAACUGACGCUGAGGUGCGAAAGCGUGGGUAGCAAACAGGAUUAGAUACCCUGGUAGUCCACGCUGUAAACGAUGGAUAUUAGGUG